GCAAGACUCUCUUAAAAAGAGUCUCUGCCCCUUCUGUCAGCCAUCCGACUGAGUUGUAUUCAAAGCCAGAAUGCUGCUGUAUAUACUCUUCUGUUUGCUGCUUGUUGUGCAAGCACAUUUGAAUUGCCGAGUUCGUGAAACUAUCCAGCUUACAAACACGUUACUUGAAAGAAAAUUUGAAGACUGUGCGUGUAAUGAAACUAACCAUAAUUCAUGCUUAUGUCUUCCCAUUCCAAAAAAUGCCUGUUUAAAAUGCUUUGUGGAACCCAAUCGAGGAAUACAAGAAAAACUGUCUACUAUGGGCAGUGAAGGUAGGCGUUUAUAUCGCUACCUUCAGCAAGUUCAACACUGGUGCACACCACUCUUUCCUUGUAAUGAAAUCUGCGAGGCUUCCCCAGGGAAUGUGAUUAAUUUCUUAACAUCAGUCCGAGCAGCUCUGCAAAAACUGGAGCGCCAAUAAUGGAAGGGGAAAAAUAUUAUUUAUUAUAUUUAUUCUCUAAAUAACAUAUAAAAGAUUUAAUAUAUAGAAACUGUAACAGAUAAUUUACUUAAAACAAUAAAACUGUAAUUUAUAUAACCCC
Molecule: long non-coding RNA, 581 nt
Filed under: Crocodylus porosus (Australian saltwater crocodile)
Lineage: Eukaryota; Metazoa; Chordata; Crocodylia; Crocodylidae
Description: lncRNA (ENSCPRG00005010850.1)
Source: RNAcentral